CAUAAAAACAAGAUGAUGGAUAUAUACAGUCUAUGAUACUGCACAAAGCUGUCGCCGUCCGCCUAUAAAAGUUGUUUAGGCUAACGUGUUAGCGAAUAACAAGUGCUUAUAUUAACAUUCAGUAGACACGGAGCAACAUAAACAUUCAUUAGGAGUCGUGUUUCUGGCCACCGGAUGAAUUGUGAAAGGUGUUAGGUCCGGUGGGGAGUUGAAGGGCCCAGAGAAGCCCCUGAGGACCGUUCAACAGAAACCAUAUCAGGGGCAGACAAUUCACAUCUGCUGCCAUGUGACCGCGAAACCCAUUGUGAAAAUUAGUAUCAACAUGGACGGAGCUGCAGAGGAGUGGCGAACUGAGGGAGGACCAGCGAUAAAACAAACACACAGUCAACUCAACAAAGUAGGAAUUCAGUCACACAUGUCGUCAUGCAUAUAUUUAUUUUGAC
Siniperca chuatsi (mandarin fish) is the source of this 443-nucleotide long non-coding RNA. RefSeq lists it as uncharacterized. Lineage: Eukaryota; Metazoa; Chordata; Actinopteri; Centrarchiformes; Sinipercidae. The transcript has 3 exons. The record is from RefSeq and is a predicted model, not a curated record.